This 742-nucleotide ribosomal RNA is filed under the name uncultured bacterium. RNAcentral's name for it is "bacterial SSU rRNA". It matches the Rfam family "Bacterial small subunit ribosomal RNA", at positions 61 to 818 of the family's 1533-position model. The record is from RNAcentral.
GUUGGGCGAGGAUGGUUUGAGGAGACAUAUGUUGAAUUGAAUCGUUCGAGCAGCGGACGGGUGAGUAAAGCACAAGGACUUGUCCGAAAGAGAGGGACACCUUCGGGAAACCGGAGCUAAUACCUCAUAAGCCGGAAGGUGAAAAGCAGAGAUGCGCUUUUGGAGAGACUUGUGUCCUAUCAGGCAGUUGGUGAGGUGAAAGCUCACCAAACCGAAGACGGGUAGCCGGACUGAGAGGUCGACCGGCCACAUUGGAACUGAGAGACGGUCCAGACUCCUACGGGAGGCAGCAGUGGGGAAUAUUGGGCAAUGGGCGGAAGCCUGACCCAGCGACGCCGCGUGAGGGAAGACAGCCUUCGGGUUGUAAACCUCUGUUGCAGGGGAAGAAGGAAGUGACGGUACCCUGCGAGGAAGCUCCGGCUAACUACGUGCCAGCAGCCGCGGUAAUACGUAGGGAGCGAGCGUUGUCCGGAAUUACUGGGCGUAAAGGGCGCGUAGGCGGCGCUUCAAGUCGUCUGUCAAAUGGAAGGGCUUAACCCUUUUUCGCAGACGAAACUGGAGAGCUUGAGAAGCAGAGAGGCAAACAGAAUUCCUGGUGUAGCGGUGAAAUGCGUAGAUAUCAGGAAGAAUACCAGUGGCGAAGGCGGUUUGCUGGCUGCAUACUGACGCUGAAGCGCGAAAGCCAGGGGAGCGAACGGGAUUAGAUACCCCGGUAGUCCUGGGCAGUAAACGAUGUAUGCUG